GGUUAAGCGACUAAGCGUACACGGUGGAUGCCUAGGCAAUCAGAGGCGAUGAAGGACGUGCUAAUCUGCGAAAAGCGUCGGUAAGGUGAUAUGAACCGCUAUAACCGACGAUGUCCGAAUGGGGAAACCCAGUGCAAUUCGUUGCACUAUCGUUUGAUGAAUCCAUAGUCAAACGAGGCGAACCGAGGGAACUGAAACAUCUCAGUACCUCGAGGAAAAGAAAUCAACCGAGAUUCCCCUAGUAGCGGCGAGCGAACGGGGAGCAGCCCAGAGUCUUAAUCAGCAUCAGCAUCAGGAGAACGGUCUGGAAAGUCCGGCAGUAAAGGGUGAUAGCCCCGUAUCCGAAGGUGUUGGUGUUGUGAACUCGACGAGUAGGGCGGGACACGUGUUAUCCUGUCUGAAUAUGGGGGGACCAUCCUCCAAGGCUAAAUACUCCUGAUUGACCGAUAGUGAACCAGUACCGUGAGGGAAAGGCGAAAAGAACCCCGGCGAGGGGAGUGAAAUAGAACCUGAAACCGUGUACGUACAAGCAGUGGGAGC
This 540-nucleotide ribosomal RNA is filed under the name Providencia stuartii. RNAcentral's name for it is "partial 23S ribosomal RNA". It matches the Rfam family "Bacterial large subunit ribosomal RNA", at positions 1 to 580 of the family's 2925-position model. The record is from RNAcentral. RNAcentral also lists the same sequence under 1 other name. Lineage: Bacteria; Pseudomonadati; Pseudomonadota; Gammaproteobacteria; Enterobacterales; Morganellaceae.